CCAGAGAAGAAGAUUUGGAAACAAAAUCAGAGCAACUUAAAAAGAGUAACCUCAUCAUAAUUGCUACACCGUACAUUUUCUUUGUGUGUUCCUGAUGGUAAAUAAAGACAAUGACAUAUCUCCAAGAGGCAGUUUGGCAUAGUGAUACAGACUGUAGAGUGAGACUGCCUGGUUUUUAAUCCCAGCUCCGUCACUUCCUGACUAUAUAACCUCAGGUUUAACUCAGGACUACCUUAACAUUCCACUAUUUGUAUUUAUUCAUUUGCAUAUCUCCAGGGGAAAAAAUGAUUGAAGUGGUACAUGACUGUCUAGAGAAGAGAAGUUCUGAUCAAUCCUCCAGUUUGGACAGUAACAAUAGCUUGGAUAUUUUAAAGAACCAUGUUCUAAAUGAGCUGAUACAGACUGAGAAGGUUUACGUUCGCGAACUAUUUACUGUUUUGUUG
Molecule: long non-coding RNA, 443 nt
Organism: Molossus molossus (Pallas's mastiff bat)
Lineage: Eukaryota; Metazoa; Chordata; Mammalia; Chiroptera; Molossidae
Exons: 5
Source: RefSeq, a predicted model, not a curated record